RNA transcript from Nelumbo nucifera (sacred lotus), 2752 nucleotides. It is a transcript of the gene named serine hydroxymethyltransferase 7, with no coding region annotated. The record is from RefSeq and is a predicted model, not a curated record. Lineage: Eukaryota; Viridiplantae; Streptophyta; Magnoliopsida; Proteales; Nelumbonaceae.
UGGACGCCAUCGUUUGGUUUGUUUGGCUUCCAAUUUGCUAUCUCUAUCGGUCUCCCCCCCUCCCUUCGAACAAUUGUAAGGAUUGGGGUUAGGGUUUCUACAACUCCCAUGGAUGCAUCCGGCUCUUCAUCGACCAUAUCAGUCCAUUCGACAUUCCGCUACUGUUAUUGCAAUUGCUUCAGACGCUAUUGUCGCUGCUUCUGUUGUUGCUAUUGCUGUUCGUGAAUUUAGCUGAUAUUUUUCGGGAAAAAGGAUUGAUUGUUUUGUACUGUAGGACCGUAGGGGCUUUUGUUGUUCUGUCUCAUUCGCGAUUCUGUCAUGGAUCUAUCGAACGGGCAUUCGAGUCUUUCGUUAGGAUUUUCUUCGCAUGCCUCACCGGCUCCUCGAACGUCAAUUGUCGAUGAUUCUAUCUCGUUACAAAUCGACCCGAGCUUCCGUGGGCACUCUCAUUCGGGUCCGUCGAUUCCAUUGCAGUUGCUUGAGCAACAGCCAGAGGGGCGAAGGGAUGAGAGCUCAGUGAAUGGGGAGAGAGAGGAGGAAGAACAAGGGGAGGAAGAGGAGGAGGAAUUCAGUCUUUUGGGUCAUCCGAUGUGUUUGAAGAGACGAAGGGAUGGAGAAUCGUCGUCUUGUUCGUCUUCUUCUAAUCCUUUGAAGAGGGUUUCUUUCGAACCGGGGCUUGAAACGAGGAGGACUGCGGUACGGGCUUGGGGGAACCAACCACUAUGCGUUGCUGAUCCUGAUGUUUAUGAGAUUAUGGAGAAGGAGAAACAGAGGCAGUUCAAAGGAAUUGAGCUGAUUGCUUCCGAGAAUUUUGUCUGUCGAGCAGUGUUGGAAGCUCUGGGAAGCCAUUUGACGAACAAGUAUUCGGAAGGAAUGCCGGGUGCAAGAUAUUAUGGUGGUAAUCAGUUCAUCGAUCAAAUCGAGACACUUUGUUGUGGUCGUGCUUUGUCAGCUUUCAAUCUUGAUCCUGAGAAGUGGGGAGUUAAUGUUCAGCCAUACUCUUGUACAUCAGCUAACUUUGCAGUUUAUACAGGCCUUCUCCUCCCUAAGGAUCGGAUCAUGGGGUUGGAUUCCCCAUCAGGAGGACACUUGAGCCAUGGCUACUAUACGUCUAGUGGAAAGAAGGUUUCUGGUGCAUCUAUCUUCUUUGAGAGUCUCCCUUAUAAGGUGAAUCCACUCACAGGUUACAUUGAUUAUGAUAAGCUCGAGGAGAGAGCAAUUGAUUUCCGCCCUAGAAUACUUAUUUGUGGAGGUAGCUCAUACCCCCGAGAGUGGGAUUAUGCAAGGUUCAGACAGAUUGCAGAUAAAUGUGGAGCAAUACUGAUGUGUGAUAUGGCUCAUAUCAGUGGUCUCAUCGCUGCCAAGGAAUGUAUUAGCCCUUUUGAUUACUGUGAUAUUGUUACCUCCACAACCCACAAAAGUCUUCGUGGACCUAGAGGAGGUAUAAUUUUUUACAGAAAAGGUAAAAAGCCAAGGAAGCGCGGGAUGCUUUUGAUCCAAGGAGAUGAAAAUGACUAUUAUGAUUAUGAAGAUAAGAUAAACUUUGCUGUUUUUCCAUCAAUGCAAGGGGGACCUCACAAUAAUCACAUUGCUGCUCUUGCAAUAGCCCUAAAACAAGUGGCUACUCCUGAGUACAAAAUGUAUAUCCAACAGGUGAAGAGAAAUGCUCAAGCAUUAGCAUCUGCAUUACUCCGAAGAAAAUGCAGAUUGGUCACUGGUGGUACAGACAACCAUUUGUUACUUUGGGAUCUAAGAAGUCUUGGUUUAACAGGAAAGUACUAUGAGAAAGUGUGUGAGAUGUGCCACAUUACUCUCAAUACCAGUGCUAUAUUUGGUGACAAUGGCACUAUUUCUCCCGGAGGGGUGAGGAUUGGUACUCCUGCUAUGACAUCAAGAGGUUGUGUGGAGUCUGAUUUUGAGACGAUAGCCGACUUCCUCCUUAGGGCAGCUCAGAUUGCCAUUGCUGUGCAGAGGGAUCAUGGGAAAAUGCAGAAGGAUCUUUUCAAGGGUCUCCAGAACAACAAGGACAUUCUUGAACUUAGUGCCCGUGUUGAAUCUUUUGCAGCCCAGUUUGCAAUGCCUGGAUUUGACGUUUGAGCAUGAUUGAGAGACAACCUAUGAAUUCAUCCUACUUUCUUGUCUGACAAAGGUUUCACAUGGUGAUGGUGCAUCCAAUACUUUUCCUACAUUGCCUAUAAAUUGCAGAUCACCCACUAUUGUGAUUCCACGUCAUCCUGAUAUUUAGAGCAUCCAUUUUUUUCAUCACUGGUUUUACAUGUAAAUGAAAGAGGUAACCCACGCUUGAUGUUUCUUGGGCAGUCUUUUUCAGGUUUAUGUUUGAUGACAAGACUUUGAGCCCCCCUGAUGCGUACUACUGUCAUAAUGGUGUCUUCAUGCCUUUUAGAUCAUGAGAACUGUUCGUCCAUGUAACAUGUUCUGGACUGAAUGCCGUGCAGGUUCUAAAAUGUUCCAUAUACUUCUUUUCGGGUACAUGUUUCGUGGGCCUUCAUCUGAUGAUCCCAACUGGAGAAGGAAAAGAAGUGAAUUGUAAAUUUGAAGCCAUUGGCUAUAUUAGCCUUUUUCUUUUCUUCCCUUUCUGAGUGGUCCUAUUGUGGAAACUAUUAAUGCAACAAGUGUUUAUUUUUUCGAAUAGUGGUUGGUUUAUAGAUUAUCCAAAGCCAUGAUUUGGUUGGCAACUAUCUAUUGUGGUUUGUAAGCAUUUUUGUUAGAAAUGAUUUUUCUUUUUUCGUAA